CUUCUGUAAAUCUAGUUUUCUUCUCCAUAGGUAAGCCAAGAGAAGAACAUUGCUCUUCUGUACAGCUCACAAAAAGCAUCCAAGGUAAGAAGAUAACUCAAAAGAAAGGAGAUACCAGAUAGCUUUGCAUCAUUGAUUAUAAUAUAGAUG
Telopea speciosissima is the source of this 150-nucleotide long non-coding RNA. RefSeq lists it as uncharacterized. Lineage: Eukaryota; Viridiplantae; Streptophyta; Magnoliopsida; Proteales; Proteaceae. The transcript has 2 exons. The record is from RefSeq and is a predicted model, not a curated record.